Podarcis muralis (Common wall lizard) is the source of this 319-nucleotide non-coding RNA. Lineage: Eukaryota; Metazoa; Chordata; Lepidosauria; Squamata; Lacertidae. The record is from RefSeq and is a predicted model, not a curated record.
UUCACCUUUUAUCUCCACAGGGAAUUGUGGGCAACUUAGCUAGUGGUAAAUCUGCCCUUGUACAUCGAUAUCUGACUGGGACGUAUGUCCAGGAGGAAUCCCCAGAAGAUAUGGAUGCAGGUGGGAGAUUCAAGAAGGAGAUAGUAGUUGAUGGACAGAGUUACCUGCUGCUGAUUAGAGAUGAAGGUGGUCCUCCUGAGGCACAGGUGAGCACACUGUUUAAGUGAUAUUAACAGAAUGAAAAAUUGGUGACAAAUGCCACACCGUUAUGCCAGAGUGUAAACUGGUGGAAUCAGUGCUUGCUCAGUGCUGUCAAAAU